RNAcentral lists this ribosomal RNA (301 nucleotides) under uncultured bacterium. RNAcentral describes it as "partial 16S ribosomal RNA". It matches the Rfam family "Bacterial small subunit ribosomal RNA", at positions 509 to 807 of the family's 1533-position model. The record is from RNAcentral.
CAGCAGCCACGGUAAUACGGAGGGUGCAAGCGUUAAUCGGAAUUACUGGGCGUAAAGCGCACGCAGGCGGUCUGUCAAGUCAGAUGUGAAAUCCCCGGGCUUAACCUGGGAACUGCAUUUGAAACUGGCAGGCUAGAGUCUUGUAGAGGGGGGUAGAAUUCCAGGUGUAGCGGUGAAAUGCGUAGAGAUCUGGAGGAAUACCGGUGGCGAAGGCGGCCAUCUGGCCUAACACUGACGCUGAGGUACGAAAGCAUGGGGAGCAAACAGGAUUAGAUACCCCUGUAGUCCCUGUCUCUUAUAC